This 28-nucleotide non-coding RNA is filed under the name Homo sapiens (human). The record is from RNAcentral. Lineage: Eukaryota; Metazoa; Chordata; Mammalia; Primates; Hominidae.
UAUGAGUGCACUGAAUGUGAGAAGGCCU